RNAcentral lists this small nuclear RNA (119 nucleotides) under Chrysemys picta bellii (western painted turtle). Its description in RNAcentral is "U4 spliceosomal RNA (ENSCPBG00000020091.1)". The stretch from base 11 to 88 matches the Rfam family "U4 spliceosomal RNA". Rfam says of the family: U4 small nuclear RNA (U4 snRNA) is a component of the major U2-dependent spliceosome. The structure of U4 snRNA from yeast and human has been reported. The record is from RNAcentral. Lineage: Eukaryota; Metazoa; Chordata; Testudines; Emydidae.
UCAGUAGAAGAGUGGCAGUAUCAUAGCUAAUGAGGUUAAUCUGAGGUGUGAUUAUUGCUAGUUGAAAACUUUUCCUUUCAGCAAAGCGUUAAAACUAGUCAUGAAAUGUCUUUGCCGAA